RNAcentral lists this ribosomal RNA (731 nucleotides) under uncultured fungus. Its description in RNAcentral is "SSU rRNA". It matches the Rfam family "Eukaryotic small subunit ribosomal RNA", at positions 819 to 1570 of the family's 1831-position model. The record is from RNAcentral. Lineage: Eukaryota; Fungi.
GGAAUAGGACGGCUUUCCUAUUUUGUUGGUUUCUAGGAGAGCCGUAAUGAUUAAUAGGGACAGUCGGGGGCAUCAGUAUUCAAUUGUCAGAGGGUGAAAUUCUUGGAUUUAUUGAAGACUAACUACUGCGAAAGCAUUUGCCAAGGAUGUUUUCAUUAAUCAGUGAACGAAAGUUAGGGGAUCGAAGACGAUCAGAUACCGUCGUAGUCUUAACCAUAAACUAUGCCGACUAGGGAUCGGUCGAUGUUACUAUUUUGACUCGAUCGGCACCUUACGAGAAAUCAAAGUUUUUGGGUUCUGGGGGGAGUAUGGUCGCAAGGCUGAAACUUAAAGAAAUUGACGGAAGGGCACCACCAGGAGUGGAGCCUGCGGCUUAAUUUGACUCAACACGGGGAAACUCACCAGGUUCGGAUAUGAUAAGGAUUGACAGAUUGAGAGCUCUUUCUUGAUUUCAUAGUUGGUGGUGCAUGGCCGUUCUUAGUUGGUGGAGUGAUUUGUCUGCUUAAUUGCGAUAACGAACGAGACCUUAACCUGCUAAAUAGCCAGGCUAGCUUUUGCUGGUCGCCGGCUUCUUAGAGGGACUAUCGGCUCAAGCCGAUGGAAGUUUGAGGCAAUAACAGGUCUGUGAUGCCCUUAGAUAUCCUGGGCUGCACGCGCGCUACACUGACGGAGCCAACGAGUUCACUCCCUUGACCGGAAGGUUUGGGUAAUCUUGUUAAACUCCGUCGUGC